This 5677-nucleotide long non-coding RNA is filed under the name Sus scrofa (pig). RNAcentral describes it as "lncRNA (ENSSSCG00050029973.1)". Lineage: Eukaryota; Metazoa; Chordata; Mammalia; Artiodactyla; Suidae. The record is from RNAcentral.
GCCCUGAGCUGUGGUUAAUAAAUCCGACUAGGAACCAUGAGGGUUCAAUCCCUGGCCUUGCUCAGUGGGUUAAGGAUCCGGUGUUGCCAUGAGCUGUGGUGUAGGUUGCAGACACGGCUUGGAUCCUGCCUUGCUGUGACUCUGGCAUAGGCGGCUACAAGUCCAAUUUGACCCCUAGCCUGGGAACCUCUAUAUGCUGUGGGAAGCGGCCCUAGAAAAGGCAAAAAGACCAAAAAAAAUUAAUGAUAAUAAAAUAAAAUGCACAUUGGGGAGUUCCUGUGGUGGCUCAGCGGGUUAAGAACCUGACUUGUAUCCUUGAGGAUGCAGGUUCCAUCCCUGGCCUUGCUCAGUGGGUCAGGGAUCCAGCAUUGCCCAUGAGCUGUGGUGUACGUUGGUGAUGCGGCUUGGGUCCAGGGUUGCUGUGGCUGUGGUAGAGGCCUGCAGCUAUAGCUCCAGUUUGAUCCCUAGCCUGGGAACUUCCAUGUACUGCAGGUACAGCCCUAAAAAGACAAAAACAAACAAACAAACAAAGAAAACAAACAAAAAACAGAAAUUCACAUUGGGGUUUAUUUUCCUCGGACCAGGUGCAUUAUUAUACUUCUUUUACAACAAAGGAAACUCCUUCGCCGGAGAUGGUGCCCCAGAGAAAUGGAUUGAACUGAAUUCUGCGGUAGGAAGAGCACCAAUCUUAUAGGCGUCCUUUGCUUCUUUCCUUCUGUCUUCCUCCCUCACCCUCACCCCCUUCAAGUCUAUUCUGUUAAUCUAUUGAUGUUGCCUUCAUAGGGUUUGACUGUGGGUUUCCAACUGCCCCUAGGGCACUCACAGACCUUUCUCGUUGUGAAACCAAAAACCACUCUCCCCGUCCUUCUGGCUCAUCCUGACUGCUCCUGUUGAAACACCUUGAAAUCCUCAGGCUUGUGAGGCCUCAGGUGGUUACUGAUCUUCAGCAUCUCAGAUAUCUGUAGAGGGAGCAUGAUCGUAGUACCUGGGAGUUGGGUUCUUUCGAGUUUUAGAUGAGUAUGUAAAGCUCUUCCAAACAGGCCAGAUAUAAGUAGGGGUUUUACUGUACAUACAGUGUUUUUGUUUGUUUGUUUGUUUUUCUUUUCUUUUCUGGCCACCCCAUGGCACGUGGAGUUCCUGGGCCAGGGAUCAGAUCCACAGCUGUGACCUAAGCUGCAACUGUGGCAAUGGCUGGGUCCUUAACCCACUAUACCAGGCUGGGAUUGAACCUGUGUCCCAGUGCUCCCAAGGUACUCCUGAUCUCGUUGUACCGCAUUGGGAACUCCCAGUGUUAGCUGUUUUUGUUCUUACUGUUCCUGCUCAUUCCCUCACUCAUGACCAAAACUCUCAAAUGCCGGGCAUCGGUUCCCCAGGAGCAUCUCGUGUGGCCUGAGUCUGGCCUCCCUUGGCCUGUGUCCCCCACCCCCCGCAUAGUCAUCUAUUCCAGCAGCUGGCCUGGCUGGGGGGCCCUCCUUCCUCUUAGAACUACAUUGUCCUUCUCAUCUGGGCUUCUUUCCUCUCGCUUUCCUUCCCCUAUUGUUGUGAUUAAUCCUCUAGCCCAUUUCUCCAGUUUCUGGGCUUGAACAAGUCCCCCUUGUCUGCUUCUCUUCCCCCUUGGUUGCCUCCAGCUCUCUUCCCCAUCCCUCCCUGUCUUUCUUCUGCUUUUUUCCUCCACCUUCCAUCUCCCCCAAUUCCCACCCCAUGUUUCCUUAUUAAAACAACUUAAACCUUGGGAGAAAGGUUGCAGUUUUAUCAUAUUCCUAGUGGUCUAGCAUACAGCAGGAGUGUGUGACCACCAGUGAGACUGAAAAUUUAUAGUAGCAAGAAUAGUAGGUUGAGAGGACCCGAAGGUACCUCAUCCUGACAAAUGUGCAAAGUAGAGGGUAAUAGAGUUUAUGAAACCUGCGUUGCUUCACAUAAUUCAAUGGUGGAGGGGCAGGAGUUAGAGGAAAAGGAUGAACAGAAGUACUUAGGGUAGAAACCUGCAGCAUGUAGUUUUUGCUUAAUGAUGCCAAAGAAAUUUCCUCUUCAUUUUUAUGGAAAAAACGUAUUUUAAAUUCUAGAAACUUCUACCUGCCUGUCUCUUUCGAUGUGUGCAUGUAUGUGUGUGAGUAUGUGUGAUGUGCGUUUGUAUUUUAAAACACAGUCAUUUACUAUGAAACUGCGGCAGUUAAAUAGUAUAUGUUGUCACUGCAAGGGAGAUAUUUUAAUACUACAUAUUUAACUGUUCUCAUGAAACACAAUCUACCGUUUUUGAAUAUGUUCCUUCCCUUUUGUGGCUUUUCACUCAUUUUACUCCAAAUUCCCUGUAAAUCUUACUAAGAAUGAAGGUAAAUUAAACAAGGCCCUGGUGUUUUGAUAGAUUUCUUCAAGAUCUGGUUCCCAGCUUUUAUUUACUCCUGGGUUUGUCUGAUAAAACCCUGGCAUGCUUAAAAAUUUUUUUUUUAAACUUCAUCUAAUAAUUGAUGAGACACUGAUGUUUGCAAUUGCACCAUAUCCAGAAUUGCAAGCGUAAGAAAAAAAUAAGGCUACAGGAGCAUUUUCCUUUAACAUGUUGGGUAAUAAUUCUUUCUUUUUGAAGUGAGUGGUGGCCUCUCUAGGAAGGAAACGGUGUUUCUCUGUGAGGCCAGGGCGAGGUCUCUUGGCUCCAAGAACAGAUGCUUACAAAUGAGCUCGUUGGCCUCCCCAGAUACUAGGAGAGGACUGAGGGUAAAUACAUACAGUCCCCCUUUUCCAACUGUCACCUUCCUUUCUGCCUUCAGUGCCCAUUGAUGUUGAGCAGGUGAGAGUGGAUAAAUAAUUUAUAUCAUAGUAUCCGCUUCAUCAGAAAUCCGUAAAGAUUUCUUGAAGGGUUUAGAUCUAAAAAUCUUUCUGAAUUAAGCCCUAAAUUAUUAAUAUUGUGAAACUAGGGUCUCUUUCUUGCCUGUGCUGUGUAUGCUGCUAUAUUUUGAAACGGAACGAUUCGUGGACCCCUCCACCUAUUGUUCCUCUUUUUUGGUCUAAUGCAGACAGCACAGAGGAAAUGGAAAGUUCUCAGCAUUUUUACAACCACUGCUAGAUGUCUUUUAUGGGCCUGAUAAAUUCAGUAGACAAAAUCAAAGUAGUUAGUCUCUUGGGCUUUAGUGUUCUCAUCUGUAAAAUCAGGAGAUGCACUGAAGAUUCUUUCUAGCUUUAGAUUGUGUAAUUCUUUCUUUCAGAAUUUGUGUGGAGUUUAUAACAUUGAUGGGAACUAAAGUUUAGGCCAGUAAAACAAGACAGAAAUCAGGUUCUCAGACACAGGGUGAUUUUUUCAGCCUAGUGUCUGCCAGUCCAAGCCUUGUUAUAACCACAGUGUGGCAAGAUCUGAUGUCCUAUUAUUAUUUCUUUCACUUGAGAAUGCUUCAGCUGCCGAGAUCUAUCAUAGAAGUUGUUACACUGUGAGUUUCCCCAUAUCCAUCAGAAGAAGAAAAUCCAUCAUGCUUUUGACUAGUUUUUCCUCUCCAAGAAAAUGAUGUUUAAGAGAAUGACAUGUAAUAUAGACUUAACUAUUCUUAAGGCAUUGAAGAAACUGCAUCUGAAAUAAAAUCAAUACAUGAUGCAGUAGUUUAUUUACAUUUAAAAUAUUGAAUGGCAAAGCGUUUUAUCAAAGACUUUGGGACCAAAUAUGCAUUCUAGAGCUACACAGAGUCAAAAGGAUAAAAGGUAGAAGAGAAAGCGGCAGAGUUACUGUGUAGUUGUGGUACAAUUACUCUGUGUAUCUCAACUACACUAACAACAGAAAUGUAGAUAUUAGGGUUGGUAUGUUUAGAGAUUUUUAAAUUUCAUCCUAUAAUAUUGAUUCAAGUUAUAAUAGUUACCAGGCAACUAAGAGGAACAAAAGCACAGUCUUACCCUUCAUAUUUCUAGUUUUAUUUUGCAUUGCAUUCUGUUUUAUAGGUAGGUGAAUAAAUUAUGUGUUGCUGUUACACCUUUUUAGAUAAGUCCUUUUUUUUAAUGUUCUGUAGCAGUUUAUAUAGCAUGGAAAUUACUCGUCCUUGAAAUUCAAAAUAAUUGGCCAAUAAAAUUGAAUGGGCACUGAGGUUUUUUUUUUAAUUGGUGUAAAUUACUUUAUGCAUUUCUUAAUUUCUUCUAUUUACUGGUUUCUUUUGAGAAUUGAAAUCUGUAUAGAGAACCAUCAGUUACUUUAAGAUUUUAAAAUUUUACCAUGAAUCAUUUUGCAAUAUGUGUAUGUAUUGAAUCAUUGGAUUGUGUUAAAUUUGCUCAAUGUUACGUGUCAAUUAUAUCUUAGUAAAGCUGGAAAAAAAGACCAGAAUUUGUCAGGAAAUUUUACAUUAGGUAACUGUAAUUUACUUAAUAAAAAUUUAGACAGUUUUUUUCUGAUUUUAUUUGUGUUUUCUCUUUUUCUUUGAUUAGAUCUGUUUAUUCUCCCCUCCACAAAAUCUAGCUCUUGGAUUCCUUUAUUUAUGCUGAUGCUUUUUGGUUUUCUGUUUACUUUUUGAUGGGAUCCUUAAUCUUCUCCUCCAGCUUUCCUAUUGUAUGUAUUUCAGUGGCUCCCAUUCUGAUAUAAGGAGGUCGACCUGAAACUCACCUGCCUGACACCCCCCCCCCCCCCCGCCCCCGCACUGGCCUCUUCUGUGGCUCUUGGUCUCCAUUCUCAUGAGGAAGGAUGUGAGAAUUCGUGGGCCUGUGUGUCUCUCUGGCUCUUCCUGUACAUUUUGCAUCACCUGGCUUCAACUCUCAGCACCAUUGCUGCUCCUAGGCUCAUAGUUUACAGCCGUUGUCACAGUGCUGGGUUCAAAAAGGGCAUGCCCUCCCCUUUAUCACCCUAGUCUGAGCUUGGAUGGAGACCCCUCCCCUAGUUCCUCAAAGAUUUCUAAAUUGAGGCUAUAACAUUUAACAUGACUUGAUCAAAGUUUAGGCUAAUUGGAGAGAACUGUAGCCCAGAAUUAGCUGCAAGAUAUGACGAUUAUGGGGCUUCACGUGAGGUUGGAUUUUAGGCUUGAUGUGUCUCCAUGGGGUGGAAGUCAGUGUUCUCCACCAUCCUUGUACCUAUAAGUGAAUCUAUCCACUUGAGAGUUCAGGCCAAAGUCUCCCUCGAAUUAGAGAAAAAAAGGGAGUUUUAUUCUCAGCCUAAGACCUUUCUUUCUUGAUUUCCCCUUUUAGGAUCUACCUCUUCCCAGGAUGACUGAUGGAAAGAAUAUUCAGUUCCAUCAAAGGAACCAUCCAGCUUACCCAGAGUGUUAGUCCCUUAACCUAUAGCAGCUCUAGCCAGACAACCACAGAACCCAGUGGUCCAGACAUUUUUAGCUUUGUGGACACAGGCUUUGAGUCAUCUGUGAACACUAUGAAACUGUGUGUAAAAUUUUUUUCUGGGGAGCAGAUUUACAGCAUUUAUCAGAUUAUUACAAUGAUCUGGCAUCUCCCCUAAAGAUUAAGAAUCACUUCAGGCGUUCCAUUUGUGGCUCAGUGGUUAACGAAUCCAACUAGGAACCAUGAGGUUGCGGGUUGGAUCCCUGGCCUUGCUCAGUGGGUUGAGGAUCCGACGUUGCCAUGAGCUGUGGUGUAGGUUGCAGACACGACUUGGAUCCUGUGUUGUUGUGGCUCUGGCGUAGGCUGGCGGCUAUAGCUCCGAUUAGACCCCUAGCCUGGGAACCUCCACAUGCCUCGGGAGUUGGUCCAAGAAAUGGCAAAAAGACAA